RNAcentral lists this transfer RNA (87 nucleotides) under Planctomycetota bacterium. Its description in RNAcentral is "Planctomycetes bacterium tRNA-Ser". It matches the Rfam family "tRNA". From Rfam's summary of the family: Transfer RNA (tRNA) molecules are approximately 80 nucleotides in length. Their secondary structure includes four short double-helical elements and three loops (D, anti-codon, and T loops). RNAcentral also lists the same sequence under 1 other name. Lineage: Bacteria; Pseudomonadati; Planctomycetota. The record is from RNAcentral.
GGUGGGGUGGCAGAGUGGUUGAAUGUACCGGUCUUGAAAACCGGCAGGCCCGUCAGGGUCUCGAGGGUUCGAAUCCCUCCCCCACCG